GUCUACAGCCAUGCCACCCUGAACGUGCCCGAUCUCAUCUGAUCUCGGAAGCUAAGCAAGGUUGGGCCUGGAUAGUAUUUGGACAGAAGACCACUUAGGAAUACCAGGUGCUGUAGGCA
RNAcentral lists this ribosomal RNA (119 nucleotides) under Pteropus alecto (black flying fox). Lineage: Eukaryota; Metazoa; Chordata; Mammalia; Chiroptera; Pteropodidae. The record is from RNAcentral.